GGAGCUCGGGGCCGACUUGGACAGCAUGGUCAGAAACAGAAAAGAAAACCAUACAAUCUAAAAAUAUAUUUCUUAAAAGAACAAGUACGAUUGGCCAACAGAUGAAUGAAAGAUGCUCAACAUGGGCUGAAGAGAGGGCUCAGAGGUUAAGAGGGCUCGUGCUGUGUCAGAGGGCCCACAUUCAGCUCCGGGAACCCUUGGGACAUGGUGACAGAGCUGUACUCCGGCCCUUGCGUAGCAAUAGAGAUCCAGCAGAGCAAUCCUACGAAGACGUUCCGAGAAUUCUGUGGACCUUCCGAUCCUGAAAUCGCCCGGCAUUUACGACCUGAGACCCUCAGGGCAAAUUUUGGUAAAACCAAGGUUCAAAAUGCUGUUCA
This 377-nucleotide long non-coding RNA is filed under the name Rattus norvegicus (Norway rat). Its description in RNAcentral is "long non-coding RNA NONRATT008410". Lineage: Eukaryota; Metazoa; Chordata; Mammalia; Rodentia; Muridae. The record is from RNAcentral.